Molecule: long non-coding RNA, 319 nt
Organism: Armigeres subalbatus
Lineage: Eukaryota; Metazoa; Arthropoda; Insecta; Diptera; Culicidae
Exons: 2
Source: RefSeq, a predicted model, not a curated record
UUUCGCUAACAAUUACAGCAUAUAGUUUAUAUUGUACUUCUCAAUUUUUCAAGUAAGGGUGGAAGAUAUUCUAGUUGAAUUCCAUUUAAACAUUAAAAUGAUUUUCAAAUACCGUUUGAUCGUCUUUUUUGUGUUCAUCGCUGUGAUGCACUUAACCAAUGGAAAAGAGGCUGAAACUGAAAAAAAAUGCAAAUAUCCGCCUUGUACCAUGCCAACUAAAUGGUAAAUCAUGUGAUCAUGUAUGUAUAUUGUAUAACUAUUACCUUUUCGAUUAUAACAAAAUGCAAGUCAGGUAAUAAAGUAUUUAAAUAGCAAAGAA